GAAACAUCUAAGUACCCCGAGGAAAAGAAAUCAACCGAGAUUCCCCCAGUAGCGGCGAGCGAACGGGGAGGAGCCCAGAGCCUGAAUCAGCAUGUGUGUUAGUGGAAGCGUCUGGAAAGGCGCGCGAUACAGGGUGACAGCCCCGUACACAAAAGCGCAUGUGCUGUGAGCUCGAUGAGUAGGGCGGGACACGUGGUAUCCUGUCUGAAUAUGGGGGGACCAUCCUCCAAGGCUAAAUACUCCUGACUGACCGAUAGUGAACCAGUACCGUGAGGGAAAGGCGAAAAGAACCCCGGCGAGGGGAGUGAAAAAGAACCUGAAACCGUGUACGUACAAGCAGUGGGAGCACAGGUUUACCUGUGUGACUGCGUACCUUUUGUAUAAUGGGUCAGCGACUUAU
Molecule: ribosomal RNA, 400 nt
Filed under: Salmonella enterica subsp. enterica serovar Muenchen
Lineage: Bacteria; Pseudomonadati; Pseudomonadota; Gammaproteobacteria; Enterobacterales; Enterobacteriaceae
Description: partial 23S ribosomal RNA
Rfam family: Bacterial large subunit ribosomal RNA
Source: RNAcentral